RNAcentral lists this ribosomal RNA (827 nucleotides) under uncultured bacterium. Its description in RNAcentral is "bacterial SSU rRNA". It matches the Rfam family "Bacterial small subunit ribosomal RNA", at positions 27 to 863 of the family's 1533-position model. The record is from RNAcentral.
GGAUAAACGCUGGCGGCGGUGUUUACCCCAUGCAAGUCGAGCGGGAGAAUUUGGAGAAGCUUGGUUUUAAAAUUUUUCAGCGGCGGACGGGGUGAGUAACGUGUGGGCAACCUGCCUCAUACAGAGGGAUAAUCAUGUGAAAACGUGACUAAUACCGCAUGUCAUUGCCGAAGGGCAUCUUUUGGCAAGAAAAGGAGUAAUCCGGUAUGAGAUGGGCCCGCAUCUGAUUAGCUAGUUGGUGAGAUAACAGCCCACCAAGGCGACGAUCAGUAGCCGACCUGAGAGGGUGAUCGGCCACACUGGAACUGAGACACGGUCCAGACUCCUACGGGAGGCAGCAGUGGGGAAUAUUGCACAAUGGAGGAAACUCUGAUGCAGCGACGCCGCGUGAGCGAAGAAGGCCUUCGGGUUGUAAAGCUCUGUCCUUGGUGAAGAUAAUGACGGUAGCCAAGGAGGAAGCCCCGGCUAACUACGUGCCAGCAGCCGCGGUAAUACGUAGGGGGCGAGCGUUGUCCGGAAUUAUUGGGCGUAAAGGGUACGUAGGCGGUUUUUUAAGUCAGCAGUUAAAGCGCGGGGCUCAACCCCGUAAAGCUGUUGAAACUGGAGAACUUGAGAGAUGGAGAGGAAAGUGGAAUUCCUAGUGUAGCGGUGAAAUGCGUAGAUAUUAGGAGGAAUACCGGUGGCGAAGGCGACUUUCUGGACAUCAACUGACGCUGAGGUACGAAAGCGUGGGGAGCAAACAGGAUUAGAUACCCUGGUAGUCCACGCCGUAAACGAUGAGUGCUAGGUGUCGGGGGUCAAACCUCGGUGCCGUCGUAACACAGUAA